UUUUCAAUUUUAAAAUGAGUUAUUUUGUUUUAAAAGCUACUAAUUGGCUGUAACCAGUAGAAAUAUUUUCCUACUGUUACAAAUAAAAUAACGAAAUUAAUGAGGCCUUUUGGGUUUUCUCUCCCGUUUAAACUCUCCACUCAAAGGAAAAUAGCAUCAUUUUAUUUUCUCAAUAUAAAAGUAAUGCGUUACUGAUUUAAAAACAAAUGAGCAGAAAAGUUUAAAUAAGACACUCCCACGAUCUAUCUCCUUUUCUAACAUCUUGCUCCACAUUUUACAGGGGUGCAGAAGAAAUUGGACAUUCAUGACUUGUGAUGAGGGGAGGUAUAGAGAGAGACAGUUGGACUGGGACUAGAGAAGAUAAAAAAUUAUUCCUCGAAGAGGAAGAAAAGGCCAACGGACACGGGAGCAGAUACAGCCUCUCCCUGUAAACCAAAGAAAGGCAAAUUCACCACAAAGAGAAGCUACUUCUAGUCUCCGGGGUUGGCAAAGAGGAAAAUGAGUGGCAGGACCUGAUGUGUCAGGGAAGGAAGGGGAGGGCCGGCUUCUGCGGCGCUGCUGAUGGGAGUGGUAAUUGGGGUCCUGAUCUCAUGGUUGACGUGGCCCUCACGUGAGCUGGAGCCGACGCGUGCAGACGUCCUUCUAAUCCUAGUCUUCGUUUGGUCCGGUUGCACUCUUCCUAUCGCCCAGAGGGCGAGAGGGCCUGUGGCCUGGGGGAAGGAGGACGAGGUUCUGCCUGGAUCCCAGCAGUAG
This 753-nucleotide long non-coding RNA is filed under the name Pan paniscus (pygmy chimpanzee). RNAcentral's name for it is "lncRNA (ENSPPAG00000044904.1)". The record is from RNAcentral. Lineage: Eukaryota; Metazoa; Chordata; Mammalia; Primates; Hominidae.